This 632-nucleotide ribosomal RNA is filed under the name Methylobacterium sp. ccc_11. Its description in RNAcentral is "partial 16S ribosomal RNA". It matches the Rfam family "Bacterial small subunit ribosomal RNA", at positions 801 to 1432 of the family's 1533-position model. Lineage: Bacteria; Pseudomonadati; Pseudomonadota; Alphaproteobacteria; Hyphomicrobiales; Methylobacteriaceae. The record is from RNAcentral.
GGUGGAUGCCAGGGUGUGGGGGUUGCUUGCAACNGCANGUAGNGCAGGNUAACNNCUUUGAGGCAUUCCGCNUGGGGAGUACGGUGGCNAGAUUAAAANUCNAAAGGAAUUGNNCGGGGGCCCGCACAANNGGUGGNGCAUNUGGUUUUAAUUCGAAGCAACGCGCAGAACCUUACCAUCCUUUGACAUGGCGUGUUACCCAGAGAGAUUUGGGGUCCCCUUCGGGGGCGCGCACACAGGUGCUGCAUGGCNGUCGUCAGCUCGUGUCGUGAGAUGUUGGGUUAAGUCCCGCAACGAGCGCAACCCACGUCCUUAGUUGCCAUCAUUCAGUUGGGCACUCUAGGGAGACUGCCGGUGAUAAGCCGCGAGGAAGGUGUGGAUGACGUCAAGUCCUCAUGGCCCUUACGGGAUGGGCUACACACGUGCUACAAUGGCGGUGACAGUGGGACGCGAAGGAGCGAUCUGGAGCAAAUCCCCAAAAGCCGUCUCAGUUCGGAUUGCACUCUGCAACUCGAGUGCAUGAAGGCGGAAUCGCUAGUAAUCGUGGAUCAGCAUGCCACGGUGAAUACGUUCCCGGGCCUUGUACACACCGCCCGUCACACCAUGGGAGUUGGUCUUACCCGACGGCGCUG